This 450-nucleotide ribosomal RNA is filed under the name uncultured bacterium. RNAcentral describes it as "partial 16S ribosomal RNA". It matches the Rfam family "Bacterial small subunit ribosomal RNA", at positions 338 to 795 of the family's 1533-position model. The record is from RNAcentral.
CCUACGGGGGGCUGCAGUGGGGAAUUUUGGACAAUGGGGGCAACCCUGAUCCAGCCAUCCCGCGUGUGCGAUGAAGGCCUUCGGGUUGUAAAGCACUUUUGGCAGGGAAGAAACAGUCCGGGAUAAUACCCUGGGCGAAUGACGGUACCUGCAGAAUAAGCACCGGCUAACUACGUGCCAGCAGCCGCGGUAAUACGUAGGGUGCAAGCGUUAAUCGGAGUUACUGGGGGUGGAUCGGGCACAGGCGGUUGGAAUCCCAGGGCUUAACCUUGGAACUGCACUUUUAACUACCGAGCUAGAGUACGUCAGAGGGGGGUAGAAUUCCACGUGUAGCAGUGAAAUGCGUAGAGAUGUGGAGGAAUACCGAUGGCGAAGGCAGCCCCCUGGGAUGAUACUGACGCUCAUGCACGAAAGCGUGGGGAGCAAACAGGAUUAGAUACCCGUGUAGUC